Molecule: ribosomal RNA, 324 nt
Filed under: uncultured bacterium
Lineage: Bacteria
Description: bacterial SSU rRNA
Rfam family: Bacterial small subunit ribosomal RNA
Source: RNAcentral
GACGAACGCUGGCGGCGUGCUUAACACAUGCAAGUCGAACGAUGAAGUUAUGAAGGAGGCUUCGGCCAACGGAAUGAUGGAUUAGUGGCGGACGGGUGAGUAACGCGUGAGUAACCUGCCUCUCAGAGAGGAAUAACAUUUGGAAACGAAUGGUAAUACCACAUAACAUUACGGGACCGCAUGAUCCUGUAAUCAAAGAUUUUAUCGCUGAGAGAUGGACUCGCGUCCGAUUAGCUAGAUGGUGAGGUAACGGCUCACCAUGGCGACGAUCGGUAGCCGGACUGAGAGGUUGAACGGCCACAUUGGGACUGAGACACGGCCCAG